RNAcentral lists this ribosomal RNA (399 nucleotides) under Triticum aestivum (bread wheat). RNAcentral's name for it is "partial small subunit ribosomal RNA". Lineage: Eukaryota; Viridiplantae; Streptophyta; Magnoliopsida; Poales; Poaceae. The record is from RNAcentral.
AUGAUUGCUCUUAUCGGUAUGGCUCCUACCGAGGAGGAGGGAGAAGAGAAGAAGAAGAUGGAAAGGAAGGCAGCCGGAGCUGCAUUCACGUGGAUUCAAAAUAACUUUGCGACGUGCCCUCCGGAUGCAACUGAUGAUGUGAUCCAGACACAUGCUCGUGUGUAUAUGUGGUACAUUGUGUCGAGGACUUUGUUUCCUGACUCCACUGGCAAGAACGCUCCAUGGAUGUGGCUGAAGGCGUUGACCGUCUUCGAUAGCAAAUGGAGCUGGGGUUCAGCGACUCUUGCCUACUUGUACCGACAGGUAGUUGGUCUGUUUUGUGAUCAACUCAUUUAUUCAUUAGCAAUGCAAGCUUGCUGUCAAGUUAACAUUGUUUUUCUUUCAUAUGUAGCUGGAUGA